CAUAGGUUAAUGAGGCGAACCGGGGGAACUGAAACAUCUAAGUACCCCGAGGAAAAGAAAUCAACCGAGAUUCCCCCAGUAGCGGCGAGCGAACGGGGAGGAGCCCAGAGCCUGAAUCAGUGUGUGUGUUAGUGGAAGCGUCUGGAAAGGCGCGCGAUACAGGGUGACAGCCCCGUACACAAAAAUGCACAUACUGUGAGCUCGAUGAGUAGGGCGGGACACGUGGUAUCCUGUCUGAAUAUGGGGGGACCAUCCUCCAAGGCUAAAUACUCCUGACUGACCGAUAGUGAACCAGUACCGUGAGGGAAAGGCGAAAAGAACCCCGGCGAGGGGAGUGAAAAAGAACCUGAAACCGUGUACGUACAAGCAGUGGGAGCCUCUUAAUGGGGUGACUGCGUACCUUUUGUAUAAUGGGUCAGCGACUUAUAUUCUGUAGCAAGGUUAACCGAAUAGGGGAGCCGAAGGGAAACCGAGUCUUAACUGGGCGUUAAGUUGCAGGGUAUAGACCCGAAACCCGGUGAUCUAGCCAUGGGCAGGUUGAAGGUUGGGUAACACUAACUGGAGGACCGAACCGACUAAUGUUGAAAAAUUAGCGGAUGACUUGUGGCUGGGGGUGAAAGGCCAAUCAAACCGGGAGAUAGCUGGUUCUCCCCGAAAGCUAUUUAGGUAGCGCCUCGUGAAUUCAUCUCCGGGGGUAGAGCACUGUUUCGGCAAGGGGGUCAUCCCGACUUACCAACCCGAUGCAAACUGCGAAUACCGGAGAAUGUUAUCACGGGAGACACACGGCGGGUGCUAACGUCCGUCGUGAAGAGGGAAACAACCCAGACCGCCAGCUAAGGUCCCAAAGUCAUGGUUAAGUGGGAAACGAUGUGGGAAGGCCCAGACAGCCAGGAUGUUGGCUUAGAAGCAGCCAUCAUUUAAAGAAAGCGUAAUAGCUCACUGGUCGAGUCGGCCUGCGCGGAAGAUGUAACGGGGCUAAACCAUGCACCGAAGCUGCGGCAGCGACACUAUGUGUUGUUGGGUAGGGGAGCGUUCUGUAAGCCUGUGAAGGUGUACUGUGAGGUAUGCUGGAGGUAUCAGAAGUGCGAAUGCUGACAUAAGUAACGAUAAAGCGGGUGAAAAGC
This 1124-nucleotide ribosomal RNA is filed under the name Escherichia coli. RNAcentral describes it as "partial 23S ribosomal RNA". It matches the Rfam family "Bacterial large subunit ribosomal RNA", at positions 165 to 1329 of the family's 2925-position model. The record is from RNAcentral. Lineage: Bacteria; Pseudomonadati; Pseudomonadota; Gammaproteobacteria; Enterobacterales; Enterobacteriaceae.